UAACCUACCCUCAGGAUGGAGAUAACCCCUGGGAAACUGGGACUAAUAUCCAAUAAAUGAUUAUGCCUGGAAUGGUUUAUCAUUGAAAGGGCUGAAUACAUGCUUUCAGUAUCACCUGAGGAUGGGACUGCGUCCGAUCAGGUUGUUGGUGGGGUAACGGCCCACCAAGCCUAUAACCGGUACGGGCCCUGAGAGGGGGAGCCCGGAGAUGGAAACUGAGACAAUGUUCCAGGCCCUACGGGGCGCAGCAGGCGCGAAACCUCCACAAUGCGCGAAAGCGUGAUGGGGUUAGCCCGAGUGCUGUCCGAAAAGGAUGGCUUUUCCUUGGCGUAAAAACCCGGGGGAAUAAAGGGGGGGCAAGACUGGUGUCAGCCGCCGCGGUAAUACCAGCCCCCUGAGUGGUAAGGACGAUUAUUUGGCUUAAAGCGUCCGUAGCCGGCUUAGUGAGUCUCUUGUUAAAUCCAAUGAUUCAAUCAUUGAACUGCAAGAGAUACUACUAUGCUAGAGGACGGGAGAGGUCGACGGUAGUCCAAGGGUAGGGGUGAAAUCCUAUAAUCCUUGGAGGACCACCAGUGGCGAAGGCGGUCGACUAGAACGUGCCUGACGGUGAGGGACGAAAGCUGGGGGAGCGAACCGGAUUAGAUACCCGGGUAGUCCCAGCUGUAAACGAUGCGGGCUAGGUGUAGGGGCAGCUACGAGCUGCUCCUGUGCCGCAGAGAAAUUGUUAAGCCCGCCGCCUGGGGAGUAC
This 748-nucleotide ribosomal RNA is filed under the name uncultured archaeon. RNAcentral describes it as "bacterial SSU rRNA". It matches the Rfam family "Archaeal small subunit ribosomal RNA", at positions 105 to 838 of the family's 1478-position model. The record is from RNAcentral.